RNAcentral lists this ribosomal RNA (483 nucleotides) under uncultured bacterium. Its description in RNAcentral is "partial 16S ribosomal RNA". It matches the Rfam family "Bacterial small subunit ribosomal RNA", at positions 30 to 506 of the family's 1533-position model. The record is from RNAcentral.
AUUGAACGCUGGCGGCAGGCCUAACACAUGCAAGUCGAGCGGAUGAAGGGAGCUUGCUCCUGGAUUCAGCGGCGGACGGGUGAGUAAUGCCUAGGAAUCUGCCUGGUAGUGGGGGAUAACGUCCGGAAACGGGCGCUAAUACCGCAUACGUCCUGAGGGAGAAAGUGGGGGAUCUUCGGACCUCACGCUAUCAGAUGAGCCUAGGUCGGAUUAGCUAGUUGGUGGGGUAAAGGCCUACCAAGGCGACGAUCCGUAACUGGUCUGAGAGGAUGAUCAGUCACACUGGAACUGAGACACGGUCCAGACUCCUACGGGAGGCAGCAGUGGGGAAUAUUGGACAAUGGGCGAAAGCCUGAUCUAGCCAUGCCGCGUGUGUGAAGAAGGUCUUCGGAUUGUAAAGCACUUUAAGUUGGGAGGAAGGGCAGUAAGUUAAUACCUUGCUGUUUUGACGUUACCAACAGAAUAAGCACCGGCUAACUUCGU